AGACAGCAGGCAGCCUGAAUGAACCACAAGCUGUGUGGACGUGGAGAAGGUGGGAAGUCUGUCCAUUCCAUGGAGAUUAUCAGCUGAAACAAGGCUGUUUCCCGUCAGACCUGCUUAAGCCAUGUCAAGGUGUAAGAGUAACUGGAUGCUUUACGUAAACAAAAGGACAAAUGAAGGCCAAGCUGGAGUCUCACCUACCUGACUUUUACAGCAUUGCUGAAAUGCCUUUCCAUAAAGAAGACAACUUCAUUCAACUCUUCAAUCUCAAGAUUACAGCCAUUUUCUGCACAGAGAAGGGUACACACUGAGGCAUCCACAAGACCUUGAUUUCAAACAAAUUUGUCUUCCUUUCAGUUAACACUAACAAAGCUACCAUUGAUGGAAACUAAAGGCAUUAAAACCCAGAGCACAUCCCCCAGCAUGAGAAAAUGAAUCAGACGAUGACCGCUUUGAGAAAUGGGCUCUGUGCUGGGACACACUGGGCUGUCUCCUCAGUACAGUCCCAGGCAGGACUUCAUUAUAAACCGCAGCCCCACCUCACACAGCGCCUCCUCAGCAUGACUCACUCACAAAAUCAUCCCUGCUGGUGGGAUGGCCGGCCUCUAACGAUGGAUUUGCUGUGCUGUUUCAUGGAAAACAACAACAACAACAACAAAAAACACACCAUAAACCAAAGACUUAAUGUCCAGCUGGUGGCUGGGACACCUUGGUGAAGAGGACCCAGUAAACUCAGGGAGGCUAGUGGUGCUGUUUGUGUCUCAUGUGGCCCACACCAGCCCACUGGCUGUUCACAAUACAUUCAUCUAGUGUUACUUCAGGGGGCCUCCAGGCCGACCUCCUAACUGAAAACAUCAUAGACCUUUCACGCAAGUGUUCAACGUGCUGGUGUUUACUCCUGCUGCUGGGCAUUCAAAACAACUGCUGAUCCCUCAUGUUCUCCUUACCUUUGUUCCCCUCCUUGCGAGUUGGGUGUAGGCCCCAAUCAGCCUCUGCAGGCCUCUCUGAACCUCAUGGUCUGAGUUUGAGGGGACCCAAGAGCUUGCCUUCUUAUUUUACAGAUGGGGAUACAGAGGCCCAGAGACUCUGUGCACCUUGUCAAGGUCCCAGCGCUAAGUCUAGAAACUAGCUGUCAUGUCAUAUCCCUUGGUCUCGGGAUAUUUUCACUUAUCCAUUCAACACGUGACAAGCAUUUCAAUAAGCCAGCUCUUUGAGGAGCUGGGAACAGGGAGAUGAAAUGGGCCUCUGCCCUGAGCAGCCCCUGGUCUUUGAUGUUAUGAUGGCAAGAAGCACUGGGAGCUAACAUCAAAGGGAGAGAGGCCUUCGGAUGCUUAGAAAGAGUCUCCCCACAGUUGCUAUCCUCCUCUGAAUGCGGCUCAAACCAAAUCAGCACAAAUCCGCUAAAUAAAACCACUGGAAAACAAGGUCAAAGUGACAGAGGCCAAGAGCACCAACAAAAGUGCCUUCUUAUCCAUCUUGGAGCCAAGCUGAAGAGCGGCCCCAAGUGACCAACGGUGGGACUCACGGCUGGGCCUUGUCCCCCCACCCCAGCACAGCCUUGGAUGAAUCACACACCAGAGAACAACAGGGCUAUUUCUCACCAGUCAUUUGUCAAGCUGACAUCCCUGCCUAGAGUUAUUUAGGGCUUUCUAAAGACACUUCUUUCCCUCCCUGCCGCAGGAAGCACCUGCACGGCUGUUGAGUUGUGGUUUUGCUCAAUAGCGCUUUGAUAUCCCUUAAGGCCUUCAUCAAUUACUCUUCUGUCCCUGAUGGGUUGGACUUUGGCUGAGGCAAAGACAGGGAAGCUUAGAGAGGAUGAUGGAGAGGAAGAGGAUGGUGAGUUCCUCUGAGAUCUGAGGCCAGCCACUGUCUGGAGGUGGGCUCUUAUUGAUUUCUGUGGGGGAACCUUCAGGAGAGGACAGUCUGAGUUCUUGGCCAGCUGGACUUGGACCAUAACUGCCAUGUUCCCAUGAGGACAGGUCCCCCUCCUGGAACAGAGCUAUGCUCCUGCCAGCUACUUAGAGGAAAAGAGCAGGCCUGUCAGAUGAGUGUGACUGGAGCAAACCUGGUCUUCCGAUUCAGCUAAAUGACAUAAGGCAGAGGGGACUUGGAGCGGGAUCAGGGAAGAAAAACGGAAAUAAUGAGAAGACUCAGUGAAUGGAUCUCUGAAAGCAGUUAGGAGAAUUUGAGUUGUUGAGUCUAGAGGAGGCAAGAGUGAACUAAGAAUUAGCUUUGAUUAUAGGCAGAAAAACUGUGCAUAAAUUAGUGGUCAUUUCUACUGAAAAUAUGGUGUGGGUUGGAUUCUUGCUUCCAUGGCUGCCCGAGGAUUUUGCUCCAGUGUGCUGGCCUGUCUGGGUUAUUGCAUUAUUCUUAUUCAUGAGGUGGUGGGUCUCCUUCCUUGGAGAUUUGCAUGAAUGGAAAUGACAUCCUCCCAGAUGGAAUGGUUUAGGGAAAGUCUUCACGACACAUAUGUUUCUUCCCUUCAGUUUGCACUGCCCAACAUCCCAGCUUGACCCUUAUGUCUGAAUCAGUUUAGCAGCCUCUUGACUAGUAUACAGAUGUUCCAUCUCUGCCUCCUUCAGUCCACUCUGCCUAUGGAGGUCCCACUUAUCUUCCUUAAAUUCAUCUUGGAUAAUGGCAAUGUCCUGCUAAAAAUAUGUUGAUGCCUAUUUAUUUAUUCAUCCAACAAAUACUGAGCACCUAUUGUCUUGAGCACCGAUUAUGUGCCUGCUGCUUACUCCCGGGCAUACAACAUGGCACAAAGUGUAGUAGGGCCUCAUCAAGGCAUUCACUCAGCCUUCCUGUCCUUGUCCUGGAACCUUUUAAGGCCUCAUCAUCUGCUUUUAACAGAUCUUUCUGACCUUUUGCCCACACAAAACCUUUUCUUCCAGCCUAGCCCAUUCACCAUGAUAACCCACCUGGUGUCUUUCUUGUCACCCCAACUUCUGGAUAGACUAUCCUUAUUCGGAGCCCAUCUCUCCUGUGAAGCUAACACAAGUCUCCUUGCCUUUAGGAGGAUUUCCAUGGCCGCUUGGGUUUUAGAAUUCUCUAGCACCUCUGUCCCCACAGUGUUUCUUCCUUAGCACUGGGUAUGUUCUUCCUGAGUGGAGAGAACUGGCAGCUGCUGUGCCUGCCCUGACCUCCUGUGGCCUCACUCGCCGUGGACAAGUCCUGAGAGAGCUGGAACCUGUGGACAUUCUUUCCCUGUCCGUGCUCUGCUGUGGAUGAUGACAGGGGCAGCUCAGGUGUUUGCUGGGGCUUCCAGAGCAUUUGACACCAUUAAGAAGACGGAGAGUAUACUGAAUGUCUAAACUUAAAGGGGGAGAGGCUUUGGGGAUCAUUUAAUAAAACGACCUUGUUUUGCAGAUAUGGAAACUGAGAACCAGAGAAACUGAUUUACCCAAAACCACAAGGUGACGUAGUAGCAGAGUCAAAUCUUGUCCACUGUUAAGUUUAGCCUAAAGCUCCCUCCUUAUAUAUUUUAAGUUCAUCCUAAAGGUUUCUUCAUACAUAGUGAGCUGUAACCUAAUGGAUGUGUGAACAGACUGUAACUUGCUGUUGUGCCAAUCAUCAAGUUUUGGCCAGUCAAGGCCGUCCAACUGUUUAAAUGGUGUUCAAUAAGGUAAACACUGAGCUGUGAUCAAUCUGGCUGUUUCUGUACCUCAAUUCUGUUUUCUGUGCAUCACUUUCCUUUUUCUGUCCAUAAAUCUUCUUUGUCACCGUGGCAGCAACAGAGUCCCUCUGAACCUAUUCUGGUUCUGGGGCUACCAAGUCAUGAAUUAUUCUUUGCUCAAGUAAAC
Molecule: long non-coding RNA, 3797 nt
Organism: Homo sapiens (human)
Lineage: Eukaryota; Metazoa; Chordata; Mammalia; Primates; Hominidae
Product: long intergenic non-protein coding RNA 2938
Source: Ensembl